This is a long non-coding RNA of Ipomoea triloba (trilobed morning glory), 1678 nucleotides long. RefSeq lists it as uncharacterized. NCBI's taxonomy places the organism in Eukaryota, Viridiplantae, Streptophyta, Magnoliopsida, Solanales, Convolvulaceae. The transcript is spliced from 3 exons. The record is from RefSeq and is a predicted model, not a curated record.
CGCCUCCUCCAUCUCUUUCUCUUCUCUCCGCCUCAACCAAGUACCAAGGCCUCCAUCCUCCUCAAUCUUUCUUCUUCUUCUCUCUAUCGGACAGCAGCAGCACAGCUGCACACCCGCGCCGCCGGACAGCCGCACACCCGCGCCGCCGGACAGACGCACCGCCUCACCGCCGCACCUCUUCCACUGUAACAAACAUUUAGGGUUUAUGCCCCGCAACAGAUCUUUGCGCUGCGCCUCUGCCUCUGCCUCGCCACGACGCCACCGUCCACCAGCCACCAGCCACCAGCUUCCCAGUCUCCUUAUUCACCCUCAACCCGCCUCAGUCGCCGGCCUGUGAGCCCUCUCCGUCUUCAACAGGUUUUUGUUUUUGCCUAAUGUCCCCUAAUUUUGGACUAUUUUUUAUUGCCUUAACUUUUCAUUUGGACUAUUUUAUUGCUUUAACUAUUCUAAGCUGAGCUCAUUUCUGUUAACUUACUGUUUAUUAUGAUUUACAAAAGGCAAAUAUCGCAGACGACAAGAACAUAACAUUUGGUCAAUGUUAUACGACUUGUAUACAUGGAAUUGAUGAAUUUAUGAGUUUUUAAGUUCAUAUAUACUGACCUUUUUUCUAAUAAGCUCCUCAUUAAUUUUUUUUAAGGUUAAAAAAUAGGAUAAUGCUAUCUAAAGACUACUGUUUUCUCUGUGGAGUUUCAUUUCUUGCAUAAUAUCUGUGUGGCUAUUGCCUAUUAAUAAGAAUAUGAUAAACAUAUACUCAUUAGCUCUUUGAGUGUGUGCUAUUUUAACCUUAAGUGCAUACAUGUAGAAGAAAUAGCAUGAAAGCUACCUAUUCGUGUUUUCUUCAGGUUUUAUGCUUUUUUUUGGGUGGGGGGUAAUGGGAAACAUGUCCUCUCCUUAUUGUGGUAGUUUAUGAUCUAAUGGAUAUUUGUUGUAGCCUUUUUUAUUUGGUUCUGCAUUUAUUCCCUACAACUUUGUCUAUUCUCAAGCAUUUAUGGUUGCUGUUUUGCUUCACAAAUGUUGCUUCUACUGUCUAUUUAGUACUCAAACUAGAAGAAAUAAGGAGAGGUGGCCCAGGUGGGUUGAACAAACUCUGUGGUGUUUCUCCUGCAGAAUACUAAAAGAAUUAAGACAGAUGAGGAGACUGAUAGUAGAACUGAUGAAUCUGUCCAAAUAGUUAUAAUAUCUGAAGCACUGGCAAACUUUUUUGGCACCAGUGAAAGGGAAAUGUCUCAAGCAGAGGUCUUAAGGCAGGUCUGGGAAUACAUAAAGGUUAACCAGCUUGAGAUACUAGAUGAUGCUAACUGUUAAUCAUCCAAAUAUUUGGUGGAGAAAAACGUUUUGCUGGCUUCCCCCUCGUAAGACUAACAAUAAGAAGGCCAGUUGUUGGAGAAGCCAUCGAAUGCGGUACAAAGGGCGCUGGAAUAAUAUUGGUAGAAAAGAUUAAGAAUUCCAUGGAAUCAUUAUAUUAUUUAGAGUUGUAAUUAUGUUAUGCUUUCACUAUGAAUAUGAAUACAAUGCUGUUUAUUUUUUUAUUUUUUUAUUUUUUUUUAUUUUAUGUUGAGAAGUUAUCUUCCUCUUUUUUUAGAUUGCCUUUUUUGACUAUUUGACAUGUUUUAGGUCCAUUGUUUACUAUCAUUAGUAAUCUUUAAUUGCUAUAUUCGAUGUACAUUUUAUGUUGAAA